RNAcentral lists this ribosomal RNA (145 nucleotides) under Austrobalanus imperator. RNAcentral's name for it is "partial 12S ribosomal RNA". The record is from RNAcentral. Lineage: Eukaryota; Metazoa; Arthropoda; Thecostraca; Balanomorpha; Tetraclitidae.
GUAUUUUUUUUGAAAAAAGUAUAAAAUGAUAAAUAUUUUGAACGUUGAGGUCCGUGUUGUAGUUUUAGCUGUUAUAUAAAUCUACAUGUAAGUAAGGGCUUGAAAAUGAUUUUCUUUUAGAUUGAAUUUUGAAAUUCUCAGUAGA